Molecule: long non-coding RNA, 491 nt
Filed under: Mytilus galloprovincialis (Mediterranean mussel)
Lineage: Eukaryota; Metazoa; Mollusca; Bivalvia; Mytilida; Mytilidae
Source: RNAcentral
UAGAUAUUUAUAAUAUAUCUCGGUCGACAGUUUUACAUGUAUAAACCGAAAAAAAACUUUCUAUUUCCUUCAAUAAACUUCUAAUAUGAUCAUAAAUUAUUACGUCUACUGGUGUUUUAGGAUGCUAAUAAAUUUGCCAAUUUAGGGUUUCAAGCAAAUGUGAAUAUGUCUUGAACUACAUGUUUUGUUUGCAUUUGAAUUCUGCACGAAUAUUUCCCAGGCAUUGCACUAGUUCACAUCCAUGUGUUAUUAUCAUAAUUAUACAGUAUUUUAACAGCAGAUUAUAUAAUAUUAAAAUUACCCUAAGAGCUAUACAUCAUAUAUAUCAAUUCACAUAUACAAGUAUUUAUAAUAAAAUAUCAUUUUUUUAGCAUAUGAUAAUCGAACAGUUAUAACUUUUAUAAGAUGCAAAAGAGAUGAUAAGAUUGAUAAAAAUCUUAAUUAAAAUAGCUUACAUAUGAAACUAUGCUUUAAAAUUUGCUGAUAAACAA